RNAcentral lists this ribosomal RNA (450 nucleotides) under uncultured bacterium. RNAcentral's name for it is "partial 16S ribosomal RNA". It matches the Rfam family "Bacterial small subunit ribosomal RNA", at positions 354 to 795 of the family's 1533-position model. The record is from RNAcentral.
GUGGGGAAUAUUGGACAAUGGGGGGAACCCUGAUCCAGCCAUGCCGCGUGUGUGAAGAAGGCCUUUUGGUUGUAAAGCACUUUAAGCGAGGAGGAGGCUACCGAGAUUAAUACUCUUGGAUAGUGGACGUUACUCGCAGAAUAAGCACCGGCUAACUCUGUGCCAGCAGCCGCGGUAAUACAGAGGGUGCAAGCGUUAAUCGGAUUUACUGGGCGUAAAGCGCGCGUAGGUGGCCAAUUAAGUCAAAUGUGAAAUCCCCGAGCUUAACUUAGGAAUUGCAUUCGAUACUGGUCAGCUAGAGUAUGGGAGAGGAUGGUAGAAUUCCAGGUGUAGCGGUGAAAUGCGUAGAGAUCUGGAGGAAUACCGAUGGCGAAGGCAGCCAUCUGGCCUAAUACUGACGCUGAGGUACGAAAGCAUGGGGAGCAAACAGGAUUAGAAACCCUGGUAGUC